AGUUAAAAUUCACCUCAUUCACACCUGAGGAUGUCAGUGUUAGAAUUAUCAAAGACCCGUGUUGUAGCGCCAUCUGUCAUCCAGAAAUGGAAACAGGGGAGGAGGAUAAAAUUAAGUUGCAGAGACCCAGGCUCCCAGCAGCUGCUUAAGAUGGUAAUAAUUAUUGUGAGGAGAGGAAUCAAGAAUCCAAGGAAUCACUGAUCAGAAAUUGGAGGCACAUUAGGUUAAGGAACUUGCCCCAAACCACAGAGGAAAUGGCAAGAUUGGGAAAUCAGCCCAGGCUUCCAUACUUCACAUAUCUUAUUCCUCAGUAUGAAAACAAACUGCCAACAGAAUGAUGAAAAAUGUAAGAAGAUGUGUAUAUCAAAGUUGAUGAAACUUAAAACUGAUGUUUGAAGUGGUUUCUAAAAAGAGCAAUAAUUUUUGAGAGGACUCUUGGAGAAUGCAUAGUUAACUUGGAUCCAGCAAGGUGAGAUUCCCCUCGAAGAAGGAAAGAAUGGGUGUAAAAGAGGUGGGAAGGAGCCCUAUGUGUCACAGUGAUUUACUAAUAGACUGGAGGCCUGGGAAGGAGCAGGACUCACACUGUGGUGCUGAAUCCCUAGGGGAGCGUAUUCAGAUUCAAAUCCUAUUCAUAUUUGCAGAAAUAGGGGGAUUAUAGUGAAGGUAGCAAGACUAAAGAUGAGAGAUGAGGGAAAUUGAAAUAGCCUUUUUUUGGUUUUAAACUUCAGUUAAAAGAGGACUUCCUCUGUCUCUCUCUAUCUGCUGCACUUGAGGAAGGUCGGGGGGAUAAGCACAAAUCAAGCUUCCACAAUCUCUGAGAUUUCAGUCCUUGGAGAUUUAGAAGACUAAACUGUGGGUAGAGUGCUGUGCUUAAGAAUUCCCAGGACAGGAAUCAGACCUGGAAUGGGACACAGGGAAAGUCUCUUGGGGGAGCACGUCUGAGGAAGCGCUCCUGUAAGGAGCAGUGAAGGAAAGAGAGGGAGAGGAGAAACAAGUCUGUCCUUGACAGGAUGUGAAAAGGCCAAUACAUUUGCGGAAAACAUGGGGAAGAGAGACUUGUGAAGAUGUCAGGGGUGUGAAAGACAGAGCUUGGUGGGACUGGGCAGGUGAGAGAGGGAAGGUCUAGAAGGAGACAGGGAAGCCCAUAGAGGCAGCCCUGUGUGUUGAGGAAUUUUGAAAGUCUGGGUCUUGGUCCUUGACAGUUAUCCUAAGCUUGUGAGGUCCGCCUGCGGGGAGACCAAACAGUGAUGAUGAUCCCUAUCCACUGGGGAGAUCUCUAAGAGUGGAAGGCCGAGAGGUUUCUGUUUCCUGGACCGGUAGUUUCCUUGAAUGCUGUGUUCACCAGUCUGUGUCCACCCUCACACCCUCUCCAUCCCACCCGAGUGUCGUGUCAUUUUGCACGUUGUAGACCGAACGGAUGCAUUAGUCUUAAGGUUCGGAGCGGCCGGCUCACAGCGCCACCUGGCGUCCACUUUCGGAAGCGGCGAGAACAGCUUUAAAACGAAAAGUGAGGUAAAGCUGGUCCUCAGCUGUGCACGAAGGAACCUAUCUGGGAGCAGACAGGUGAGGUCGGUAUUGGGCGCCCAGAUUUCUUGGUCUGGAGGUGAGAGGGGUUUUGCAGGCCUUUUUCACUGGCUCCUGGAUCCCGCUGUGAAUCUAUUCUUUUUGAGGCUCUUUGAUUUCCGGACCAAUCCUUGUGAUUUUCUGAGCGCUUCCAUCCUGCAUUCUUCAUCAGCUGUUUGGAGGGGUGAUGUAACAAUAGUUAGACAAAUCUCAAAUUGGGAAAUUAUUAAUAAUAGUUUUUAUACCAAGGAUGAAUAGUACUUAGCUUUAUUUAAUCAUUCUCAGCUUCGUGUUUUUUUCUUCCUGCCUUCAGCCCUUCCUCUGUCCCUCCCCCACCCUUUUUUUCUUGGCUUAUUGCUUCUAGCAAUGAUCCUCUCUGAGAAAACUAUUCGGGUCCCUUGGAGCCCUUCUCUGGAUUCAGCCUCAACAUCGAAGCAAUAAAGAUUUGAAAGAAACCUAACUUUCUAACAGCCCAAGCUGCUUCUCUAAAUUAAUCCUGGACGAUCUCCACCCCCAUUAAAGUGCAGGCCUGAGAAAACUCAGCCACAGGAAUUUAUCGUUUGUGCCAUUCAACUCCUGGUGACAGGCCCCAUCUCUGUGGGAGCCUAACUUUGAUAAGUGCUAGUUAACAAACCCAGAUAAAUUGCAAAGGAACAGCUCUCCUUCCCCACCCCCCUUUUGUAAUUUUCCACUUCCAGGAAUCUGCUGAGAGCCCCCACCCUGCCCCGCCCCCAUCCCCCUUUUCUUUCUUCCUUUAAAAUGCUCCUCCCUCUCAGGGUAAACAGAAGUGGAGUUCAGUUCACACUAGGUCCUUUCCAUAUUUCAACAGUGUAUUUCUGAUGAAAAUCUGUCCUAACCCUUUAACGUCUGAUUUGUUCAUCUUUGACAGUUUUUGGCUUCAGGGAUGGGAUCAGAAAGCACUACUGGACUCUCGGACAGACAGACCUCCCCGCGGCAUAGAGACCAUUUUCUGAUCUCCAGUGCUCUUGUCCAUUUUGAUUUCUGGUGGUUGAGACUGGAGCCUUGGACUUCUUGUGAAAAGUAUGUGCUGGAAUGGAACACCUUGCGAGCUCCUUGUUUUGAAGUAGGGUCAUUCUCUGAAUCCUGGCUCUUAUUUAAAAAUAUGAAAUAUAAAUGACAUGUAACAUUUUAUUGGUUUUAAGUGUUCAGCACAAUGAGAUGUAUAUGCCAU
Sus scrofa (pig) is the source of this 2755-nucleotide non-coding RNA. The record is from RefSeq and is a predicted model, not a curated record. Lineage: Eukaryota; Metazoa; Chordata; Mammalia; Artiodactyla; Suidae.